RNAcentral lists this long non-coding RNA (672 nucleotides) under Neodiprion pinetum (white pine sawfly). RNAcentral describes it as "uncharacterized LOC124218133, transcript variant X2". The record is from RNAcentral. Lineage: Eukaryota; Metazoa; Arthropoda; Insecta; Hymenoptera; Diprionidae.
UCAACUUCGUUCGAACUUCAGCGAGGCUGUGUCGAUGUUCGGUGAUGUCCUGUCGACGUCGCCCGUUCUUAGGAUCUAGAAGCAAAGUACCAAGUCACGACGCGGGAUGCACAGUGUCCUUAUAUAAACCGCACAUAACGAUACCUUAGAAUCAUAAUUAGCAAUAUUCACACGACAGACGCAAUCGCAAAGCAACGCACAAGGAUACUGUGUUAUUGAAUUUAGCGACGACGACGACAAAAACGAUCUCCAAGACUCAAGCACACAGGACCCCCGGUGUCAGGGCCAAUUCCUAAAAAAGGACAUUACAUAUUUGGGGAAGUGGUGCGGCUGCGAUCCAGACAAACGUCAGAAUAAGUGUGCAGGAUCCACCACCGAGCAAAAGAUGUAUCUACAAAAGGUGGUGCCGAUGCCGAGGAACAGAAAAAUGCUGUGGUUGUGGCGGUAAAUGCGAAAAUAUGGUGAAAUUAAAUUUUUAAGUCAAAUCCCAGUUUCAAUUUGUUAAGGUUCCGAAGAUAUUGAGCUAUAACGAUAUAGAGAUCAGCGGCUAUAACGGACUCGAAUAAGAGCUGAAGUUCACGCGUCGAAAGAUAAACACGCAUUGAACUAAUCGUAUAAGAAAUCUCUACAUUGUACCAUGUGUUCAGAAUAAAUACUCCAUUAAUUGAUCAA